Molecule: long non-coding RNA, 1487 nt
Organism: Nycticebus coucang (slow loris)
Lineage: Eukaryota; Metazoa; Chordata; Mammalia; Primates; Lorisidae
Exons: 4
Source: RefSeq, a predicted model, not a curated record
CAACCAAUCAUGCGGAAGGUGGUCGGGUGUCCUACUGCCGUUGUUUUCUGAGUGUUUCCAGAUUGAACAAUCAUUGAUAGCUAGCAAAUUUGGUACCUUCUUACCAAAAUUCCUGUGUCUUAGAUGUCUCUGAGAUAGUGCUGUGUAAUGUGGCACUUGAAACACCUAGUUUAUAACCCUAGGCCUUUUGUGAACUGUGAGACCUAUGACAAGCUACUAUUUGUGAGCCUGUUUUCUCAGCCCCCGAACAAUAGAUUAUAAUACCACUUUGCAGGACAAUAAGAUUAAAUGGUAUAACUGUGCAAAAUGCUAAGUACAAUGUCUGGCACACAAAAUGAUCCCUUAUAUAUCCCAUUAGUUCACUGAACAGGAUCACCAAGUUCAAAUUCAUUUUUUGUCCAGGUGCAGUGGCUCACAUCUGUAAUCCUAGCACUUUGGGAGUCCUGAGCUAGAGAAUCACUGGAGACCAGGACUGGGUGACCAGCCUGAGCAAAAUUCAACUGAUCGUCUAUAACGCUAAUACUACCAUCCCAUUGAUCUAGAGAGAAUUCCAUACCUUUUCCGGUCUUAGCAAUGGACUGUUCUUAGUGUGGGAGGGGACGAGGUAUUCAACCAGCAGUGCACAGAGGCACCAUUUCUGUAAGAAGCAGACUACCGAUGUGCUGGGUGGUGCCCAAACCCUGGAUGACAUACAGCCCAGAGCUGCCAAUUUGUGUAAUCUGUGGAGUAGUGAAAGGCAAAUCUACUGAAUGCUAAAAAUUGGGGUUUACCACUGAUAUCAGUAGAUUCAUCCAACUGAGUUGCAAACAUGUUUACUUCUUUGAGGUGAGAUUUUACUUGACAUUCUGUAUUUUCAAAAAUCCUUAACAAGCUGAGAAAUUAUAUUAUCUGAACGUAGAAUUUUUAAAAUUUUCUUUUAGUAUUCUUGUCCAAACCCUGUUUUUACAAUUGCACACCAGGCUAGUAAAAUAACAGAUUCUGCAAUUGGAUGAGAUUUCAUUUUCCUAGCUACUAAUUUCUGCAAUUGCGUAACUCCCUCCCUGUGCUUUAUCUGGUAUCAUUGCAUAUUUCACUUGAUCGUAGCCAAAAGGCCGAGAAGUGAUUGUCAUUGCAUAUUUGGUCCAUACUUUAGCUUUUUUUUGUAUUACUGAGUAUGAAUCAUUUGAAAUAUUCCACCAGCUUUUGGGACAAGUGGUAAUGUCUGGAUUGUAAAUGUCUCUUUAAUUUUCUAGGAAUCACAGCUUCAUUUACUAAUGUUUUGCCACAAAUUACGCAUGUGGGACGUGGUGGAUUUUUUUUUACUACGUAUGAAACCAAAUGAUAGACAAUCUUUGUUGUAUUGAUGACUAAUUGUUUUUAAUUUAGUUUCCAAUGUACUGGAUGCAACAAUAUGUGACGCCUUCUAAUUUUUGUUUCUUAUUAAAAAAUCUGUCCAUUUUAAUUGAAUGCUGUAUAAUAAAAAUUAAAUAUGCCAAGUCAAAAAUAAU